CGGGUGGAUCACUCGGCUCGUGGAUCGAUGAAGAACGCAGCAAACUGCGCGUCGAAGUGUGAACUGCAGGACACAUGAACAUCGACGUUUCUAACGCACAUUGCGGCCCA
This 110-nucleotide ribosomal RNA is filed under the name Leucorrhinia borealis. RNAcentral describes it as "5.8S ribosomal RNA". It matches the Rfam family "5.8S ribosomal RNA", at positions 11 to 120 of the family's 154-position model. From Rfam's summary of the family: 5.8S ribosomal RNA (5.8S rRNA) is a component of the large subunit of the eukaryotic ribosome. It is transcribed by RNA polymerase I as part of the 45S precursor that also contains 18S and 28S rRNA. Lineage: Eukaryota; Metazoa; Arthropoda; Insecta; Odonata; Libellulidae. The record is from RNAcentral.